GUGAGGAAUAUUGCACAAUGGGCGAAAGUCUGAUGCAGCAACGCCGCGUGAGUGAUGAAGGCCUUUGGGUCGUAAAACUCUGUCCUUGGGGAAGAAAAAAAUGACGGUACCCUUGGAGGAAGCCCCGGCUAACUACGUGCCAGCAGCCGCGGUAAUACGUAGGGGGCAAGCGUUAUCCGGAAUUAUUGGGCGUAAAGAGUGCGUAGGUGGUUUUGUAAGCGUAGGGUGAAAGGCAGUAGCUCAACUAUUGUUAGCCCUGCGAACUGUGAGACUUGAGUGCAGGAGAGGAAAGUGGAAUUCCUAGUGUAGCGGUGAAAUGCGUAGAUAUUAGGAGGAACACCAGUGGCGAAGGCGACUUUCUGGACUGUAACUGACACUGAGGCACGAAAGCGUGGGUAGCAAACAGGAUUAGAAACCCUGGUAGUCC
This 427-nucleotide ribosomal RNA is filed under the name uncultured bacterium. RNAcentral describes it as "partial 16S ribosomal RNA". It matches the Rfam family "Bacterial small subunit ribosomal RNA", at positions 354 to 796 of the family's 1533-position model. The record is from RNAcentral.